UACGUAGGGGGCAAGCGUUGUCCGGAUUUAUUGGGCGUAAAGAGCGUGUAGGCGGCCUGACAGGUCUGCUGUGAAAACUCGAGGCUCAACCUCGAGAUGUCGGCGGAAACCGUCUGGCUAGAGUCCGGAAGAGGAGAGUGGAAUUCCUGGUGUAGAGGUGGAAUUCGUAGAUAUUAGGAAGAACACCAGUGGCGAAGGCGGCUCACUGGUCCGGUACUGACGCUGAGGUGCGAAAGCGUGGGGAGCAAACAGG
RNAcentral lists this ribosomal RNA (253 nucleotides) under uncultured bacterium. RNAcentral describes it as "partial 16S ribosomal RNA". It matches the Rfam family "Bacterial small subunit ribosomal RNA", at positions 524 to 776 of the family's 1533-position model. The record is from RNAcentral.